AUCUAGCUGACGAGUCCCAAAUGGGACGAAAUGCAGAUAGUACUGGAU
RNAcentral lists this non-coding RNA (48 nucleotides) under Trichobilharzia regenti. The record is from RNAcentral. Lineage: Eukaryota; Metazoa; Platyhelminthes; Trematoda; Strigeidida; Schistosomatidae.